This 779-nucleotide ribosomal RNA is filed under the name uncultured bacterium. Its description in RNAcentral is "bacterial SSU rRNA". It matches the Rfam family "Bacterial small subunit ribosomal RNA", at positions 82 to 871 of the family's 1533-position model. The record is from RNAcentral.
UGCUGGGGGAUUAGUGGCGAACGGGUGAGUAACACGUGAGUAACCUGCCCUUAACUCUGGGAUAAGCCUGGGAAACUGGGUCUAAUACCGGAUAUGACUCCUCAUCGCAUGGUGGGGGGUGGAAAGCUUUAUUGUGGUUUUGGAUGGACUCGCGGCCUAUCAGCUUGUUGGUGAGGUAAUGGCUCACCAAGGCGACGACGGGUAGCCGGCCUGAGAGGGUGACCGGCCACACUGGGACUGAGACACGGCCCAGACUCCUACGGGAGGCAGCAGUGGGGAAUAUUGCACAAUGGGCGAAAGCCUGAUGCAGCGACGCCGCGUGAGGGAUGACGGCCUUCGGGUUGUAAACCUCUUUCAGUAGGGAAGAAGCGAAAGUGACGGUACCUGCAGAAGAAGCGCCGGCUAACUACGUGCCAGCAGCCGCGGUAAUACGUAGGGCGCAAGCGUUAUCCGGAAUUAUUGGGCGUAAAGAGCUCGUAGGCGGUUUGUCGCGUCUGCCGUGAAAGUCCGGGGCUCAACUCCGGAUCUGCGGUGGGUACGGGCAGACUAGAGUGAUGUAGGGGAGACUGGAAUUCCUGGUGUAGCGGUGAAAUGCGCAGAUAUCAGGAGGAACACCGAUGGCGAAGGCAGGUCUCUGGGCAUUAACUGACGCUGAGGAGCGAAAGCAUGGGGAGCGAACAGGAUUAGAUACCCUGGUAGUCCAUGCCGUANACGUUGGGCACUAGGUGUGGGGGACAUUCCACGNUUUCCGCGCCGUAGCUAACGCAUUAAGUGCCCCG